UAUGUAACCUCGUAGACAAAUAUAAUUUCAUAAUUGAAAAUAAAAAAACUGAAGGUUAGACCGUAGCCGAAAAACAGAAGGCUUGGAAGAUGCUGAGUAAAGAAUAAUAUAACGCCAACACCACUUAUGUACCCAUAACUACUGAGAAUUUACAAGCUGGGAACAAAAACCUGAAAACAAAGACGAAAAAACAGCACUCAAGUGAAAAAAUGCAGAUCUCAAAUAUACUUAGAUGUAAAGUUUUAGACGAGUCUGUAGUUCAGACAGUGGAGCUCCAUGGAUAAGACUGGGAAAUGGUGUCGGCUGAUGUUAAUUUCCCCCCAGAGGAAUGCCAAACAACAUUCAAUAUUUUAAGCAAAGAAGCGAAACAAUCAUCAAGCAAACUAAAACAACAAGCCAUAUUUUAAGAUUUAGGUAUAUAAUAUACAGUGGUAAUUAAUAAUAAUAAACAUGUUUUUAAAUCAA
Non-coding RNA from Plutella xylostella (diamondback moth), 465 nucleotides. Lineage: Eukaryota; Metazoa; Arthropoda; Insecta; Lepidoptera; Plutellidae. The record is from RefSeq and is a predicted model, not a curated record.